CCUCGCCUCUGCAGAACCUUUCCUGACUUCCCCUUGCAGAUAUUGGUGCCUGUUCUGCGCUCCCUGCAUACUCUACUUGAGAAGUUAUUUUAUUGCUUGUAAUUUUUAAAAAAGACUUUCUCCUCUCUAGACUGCAAGCUGUACAGACCAACUCCUUGGAGUCUGAAGUUGGGAGAAGAUCUGUGAGGUUCCUGGUUUGCCUUUGACUCACUUCAAGGCGUAGUACUUCUUACCCUGGAUGAUGUUUGAAGACAGAACUGAGACCAAAUGAAAAGUGAUGUGUCAUUAAAGUCCUUGUCCUUACAAGAUGCUUGAGGUAAAGGGGAUGUUCAAGGAAAACUGGUGAACUCUCUAGACUUAAAAGUUAGAUGAGCAAGAAGCAAAACUGGCAGAGCCAUGCCAAGGUGGGAACAUGGAGGUAGGAAGAAGGAAAAGGAAGUAACCCAGAAGCCAACUGACACUGGAGUGAAGAUUCUGGAUUCUCCUAGGCAGUGGUGUUGGGAGUCAGGCCAGGUUUUAACUAGACCUCCAAAGGGUGUGCAAGGUCAUAUCUGAUGUCUGGAAUAUGCUUAGGCUCAGUUUAUUUGUUUCUUUCAACCAGAAACCAAUACAAGCCUAAGUCAGACAGACUAAAUUGUCUCUCAUGUAAUGAACUAGAAGGUAAAUUCCCCAGUCUAAGGAUUUGUGCUCAUGUUGGAUUGGGGGUGAGCCUUUUGGGUGGGAAUGAGUCAUAGGCUACCUCUUCUAAGAAAAGAGGGUGCUGGGACAGGAAACUGGAAAAGAGGCUUCUCUGCAUGUGCCAGAUUCCAGGAGUGACAUGCUCUCUUAUUUGAAUCUAAAUUCCCCUUCCAGAUUAAUGGAGUGCUGAAGUUUGUGACAUAGGGUACACGCUCUCCUUCCUUCUGAGUUCCAGUCUUCAUUUCUUCUCUCUUGCAUGGGAAAGUCUCCAACCAUCUCACUUGAACACACACUAUCACUGGGUCCUGCAUUCUCCCUUUGGUUAUUCUACACCAUGUGUUCAACUUUGAAAAAGGUCCCUUUCAUAAACUGUUUUCAAUUACCUGACUUGACAAAGGCACCUGCUUCCUGUGCAGAUUGAGACACUGUCCCCCUAAACACACCCAGUCCUCUUUUCUUUGUGCCCAGGGCUUGUAAAAAAGGAAAGCUAAAAAUCCUUCCCCCUCUGUGGCCAGCAAGUGCAGAGACAAGAUUAGGAUGAGACAGGCAAAAACUCAAAUAAUGAUCAAAUCAAUGGAAAUCAUUGCAUAAAACUAAAACUGUAAGAAUAAAAUCAAAUAAAUAAUAAAUUAAAGAGAAGAAAUAAAAUUAGGUACAGUUGUUUCUAGGUAUCCAAGGGGGAUUGGUUCCAGGUCCUCCUGCAGAUACCAAAAGCCAUGGAUGAUCAAGUCCUUUAUAUAAAACUUCAUAGUAUUUGCAUAUAACCUCUCUCAUCCUCCUCUAUACUUUAAAUCAUCUCUAGUUAAUUUAUAAUACCUAGUACAAAGUAAAUGCUGUGUAAAUAGUUGUUAAACUGUAUUUAGGGAAUAAUGACAGAAAGGUCUGUACAGACAUUGUCCCCCUAAAAAGCUCAUUGUGAAACAAUGCAGGAACAUUCCGAGGUGAAUUGUUUGGGUUAGGAGAGAAUGAGUCCCCUGACAGGGAUUAACCAAGCGCUAACUGAAGGUGGGUGGGAGUGGCAGGAAGAGCGGUCACCGUGGGCCUGUCUUUGGGGUACAUAUUUGAUGAACUGAACUUAGUCUCUCUCUCUCUCUGCUUUCUGAUCAUCGUGUGAGCCACUUCCCUCUACCACACUUUUCUGCCAUGAUGUUGUGCCUCACCUCGAGCCCAGAGCAAUGCAGCCUGCUGUCUAUGGCCUGAGACCUCCGAAACCAAGAGCCCUCAAAGGUACUUUUCCUCCUCUGCCAUUGUUCUUUUCAGGUCUUUUAGUCACAGCAGCAAAAAGGCUGAUGAAAACAUACAUAUUUGGUACAUAUUGUCUUUGAACAUAUUCAAUCUGAA
Long non-coding RNA from Sciurus carolinensis (gray squirrel), 2019 nucleotides. RefSeq lists it as uncharacterized. The transcript is spliced from 3 exons. NCBI's taxonomy places the organism in Eukaryota, Metazoa, Chordata, Mammalia, Rodentia, Sciuridae. The record is from RefSeq and is a predicted model, not a curated record.